CGGGGUGUAGCUCAGUUGGUAGAGCGCGGGCAUGGGGUGCCUGAGGUCGCACGUUCAAGUCGUGUCACCCCGACCA
Molecule: transfer RNA, 76 nt
Filed under: Candidatus Berkelbacteria bacterium
Lineage: Bacteria; Candidatus Berkelbacteria
Description: tRNA-Pro
Rfam family: tRNA
About the family: Transfer RNA (tRNA) molecules are approximately 80 nucleotides in length. Their secondary structure includes four short double-helical elements and three loops (D, anti-codon, and T loops). Further hydrogen bonds mediate the characteristic L-shaped molecular structure. tRNAs have two regions of fundamental functional importance: the anti-codon, which is responsible for specific mRNA codon recognition, and the 3' end, to which the tRNAs corresponding amino acid is attached (by aminoacyl-tRNA synthetases). tRNAs cope with the degeneracy of the genetic code in two manners: having more than one tRNA (with a specific anti-codon) for a particular amino acid; and 'wobble' base-pairing, i.e. permitting non-standard base-pairing at the 3rd anti-codon position.
Source: RNAcentral